GGGGAAGCAAGAUUUAUUUUAUCUAUUGGUUGCUAAGCUAUCGUAAACAAAUCGAUUUGCGCGACACUUUGCCUUUGCAGUACUUUGCAUACAAAGGAUGGAGAUUGUUUAAAAAAAUAUAUAAAUAAAUGCCGUACCUUAUUAAUGCUUUACUUUAUUGUCGGAUUUAUCUCAAUUUUAAAUCGGGAAGUUUUAUUGUUUGCAUUAUUAUUUUUCCGUGCUUGUAAUUG
RNAcentral lists this long non-coding RNA (230 nucleotides) under Mytilus galloprovincialis (Mediterranean mussel). The record is from RNAcentral. Lineage: Eukaryota; Metazoa; Mollusca; Bivalvia; Mytilida; Mytilidae.